UUGGGUUCUCACCUCACUGGCCCCUCAAGAUAACUAUGGCUCUGAUACCACUUUGUUGGUAUAAGAUUAAAUACUUAUACAGAAUAUAUAUUUUUGGGCUGCUGGAACUUUUUUUAUUGAUUGAAGAAUGCUGAAUUUAUACAUGAACUUGUAACUUAAAUGACAUUAGAAUAGCAGAAAAUCAAGCUACUAGAUGAUGAACAACUACUUCCUAUAAAAUAGAAACCAAAUCUUGACCAAAUAAAAAUAAGAAAAUAUCUAGAUGUUGC
This 269-nucleotide long non-coding RNA is filed under the name Vitis vinifera (wine grape). RNAcentral's name for it is "long non-coding RNA (VVIN_LNC001969)". The record is from RNAcentral. Lineage: Eukaryota; Viridiplantae; Streptophyta; Magnoliopsida; Vitales; Vitaceae.